RNAcentral lists this ribosomal RNA (409 nucleotides) under Microhyla fissipes (ornate chorus frog). Its description in RNAcentral is "partial 16S ribosomal RNA". It matches the Rfam family "Bacterial large subunit ribosomal RNA", at positions 1834 to 2459 of the family's 2925-position model. Lineage: Eukaryota; Metazoa; Chordata; Amphibia; Anura; Microhylidae. The record is from RNAcentral.
CCUGAUCACCCAUAGGAGGUCCAGCCUGCCCAGUGACUAAGUUAAACGGCCGCGGUACCCUAACCGUGCAAAGGUAGCGCAAUCACUUGUUCUUUAAAUGAGGACUAGUAUGAACGGCAUCACGAGGGUUAUGCUGUCUCCCUACUCUACUCAGUGAAACUGAUCUCCCCGUGAAGAAGCGGGGAUAAAAAUAUAAGACGAGAAGACCCCAUGGAGCUUUAAACUCAGUACCAACUGCCCUAACAAUAACCUAUUACCCUUGCAGCCAUGGUCACUAGUUUUCGGUUGGGGUGACCACGGAGUAAAACUUAACCUCCACGAUGAAAGGAACUAAUAUCCUAACCCAUGAGCUACAGCUCUAAGUAUCAACAAAUUGACUAAUUGACCCAAUUACUUGAUCAACGAACCA